RNAcentral lists this ribosomal RNA (253 nucleotides) under uncultured bacterium. RNAcentral describes it as "partial 16S ribosomal RNA". It matches the Rfam family "Bacterial small subunit ribosomal RNA", at positions 524 to 776 of the family's 1533-position model. The record is from RNAcentral.
UACAGAGGGUGCGAGCGUUAAUCGGAAUUACUGGGCGUAAAGCGCACGUAGUCGGCUUUGCAAGUCGAGUGUGAAAUCCCCAGGCUUAACCUGGGAACUGCAUUCGAGACUGCAUAGCUAGAGUAUGGGAGAGGGAAGUGGAAUUUCAGGUGUAGCGGUGAAAUGCGUAGAUAUCUGAAGGAACAUCAGUGGCGAAAGCGACUUCCUGGACCAAUACUGACGCUCAUGUGCGAAAGCGUGGGGAGCAAACAGG